RNAcentral lists this RNase P RNA (293 nucleotides) under Methanomassiliicoccales archaeon. RNAcentral's name for it is "RNase P RNA component". It matches the Rfam family "Archaeal RNase P". From Rfam's summary of the family: Ribonuclease P (RNase P) is a ubiquitous endoribonuclease, found in archaea, bacteria and eukarya as well as chloroplasts and mitochondria. Its best characterised activity is the generation of mature 5'-ends of tRNAs by cleaving the 5'-leader elements of precursor-tRNAs. Cellular RNase Ps are ribonucleoproteins. Lineage: Archaea; Methanobacteriati; Thermoplasmatota; Thermoplasmata; Methanomassiliicoccales. The record is from RNAcentral.
AGGAGAGGAAGGGCGGCCGACGGUAGGGCGAAGGCCCAGCUGAGGAAGUUCCCCCCUCCACGAGAGCGGUGGGCCGCGCGAGCGGCCUGGUGAGAACCAGGGCAAGGACGCAGAAACGACACAGCCCGUGCAAAAGGAUGAUCCGUAAGUCGGUGACGUUCCUCGGGAUCUGGUGAAACGGUGACUCCCCACCGGAGCAAGCCCAAACAGCUGGGAUGACGAUCUCAGGACCGGCGGGUAGGGCGCUUAGUUGAAUGCCGCCUGAAACAGAAGGGGGACUACUAUCCUCACCU